GCUUACGGCCAUACCACCUGAACACGCCGAUCUCGUCAGAUCUCAGCUAAGCAGGGUCGGGCCUGGUUAGUACUUGGAUGGGAGACCGCCUGGGAAUACCAGGUGCUGUAAGCU
This 114-nucleotide ribosomal RNA is filed under the name Labrus bergylta (ballan wrasse). Lineage: Eukaryota; Metazoa; Chordata; Actinopteri; Labriformes; Labridae. The record is from RNAcentral.